This is a non-coding RNA of Vitis vinifera (wine grape), 47 nucleotides long. Lineage: Eukaryota; Viridiplantae; Streptophyta; Magnoliopsida; Vitales; Vitaceae. The record is from Rfam.
UUAGAGGACUUUCUAGAGUCCAUUGUAUACAUACUAUAUAUCGUUUU